This 367-nucleotide long non-coding RNA is filed under the name Sarcophilus harrisii (Tasmanian devil). Its description in RNAcentral is "lncRNA (ENSSHAG00000022093.1)". Lineage: Eukaryota; Metazoa; Chordata; Mammalia; Dasyuromorphia; Dasyuridae. The record is from RNAcentral.
GUUUGCUCCUGGAGAUAGCAGUGAGAUGUGGCAGAAACAACAUUUGGGCUUGUGAAAAUGAGGAUGUCAUUUUUCUUCAUCUAAGUUCAUAGAUCACAGACUUCCUGGGGACCCCAAGUUAAGAAACUCUUCUGGAGAGAGCAGUUGUAUCCAGUGCUCAAGGGCAUAGUAACUUGGAUGUCUAGACUGCCCCUUCCCUACCUGCAGCCGCACAGAUGGUACCUCUCUCUGGAAGCAUAUUCCCUAAAGAACCAAGCCUUCUCAGGACAUCAUAUUCUGCCAGAAUGCACCUAUUUCUCAAAGUCCAUUUGUAAACAAAAACCAAUUUGUCAAAAUAAUUCAUAAUGUAGUAACUAAUGACAGAGCA